AAAAUGGCAGUAUGAACACAGGUGAAGGUGCAUGUUUUAACUUCAUUGUGUGAAAUCCCAAAAUUAAACUAAUCCAAUGUGACCAAUUAAAUUUCUGAGCAUAUUUUCUCAAUGCGGAUGGUAGACUUGUAUCCUAGGUUCUAUGUAACUUGCAAUGAAGCCAGUCCAAUUCAUAGGAUGGUAAGAUGCACCCAUAUGAAUAAGUGAACCAUAUGGAAAAUUAUAAUAUAUAGCCAUUAUAGAAGGGGGUGAAAUCAAGAGCACAUCUUAUAUGUCAGUAUCAGAUAGAAAAUACAUGGGGCAUUUUUCCUCAUACUUACCGAUAUACUAGGAUCCAUGUA
RNAcentral lists this unclassified non-coding RNA (341 nucleotides) under Hevea brasiliensis (rubber tree). The record is from RNAcentral. Lineage: Eukaryota; Viridiplantae; Streptophyta; Magnoliopsida; Malpighiales; Euphorbiaceae.